GCAGCUUUGCUGUUUAAAUUCAAGGAACUAAUUGAUUUGCAUUGUGUCCCAACAUCACUACUGCUGGAUUUGACUUGCUUCGACUUACUAUAAGUAGUAAAAUCGUCUUCAAAAUCCACCAACCCAAUGGACUCUGGGAAGAAAGGUUCAGCCUGAUACAUGCUGUUAGCACUGGAAUUUGUCUCGAACUUAGCAAGAUCAAUCAAACUUUUACCUAGUUGAUUUCUUU
Molecule: long non-coding RNA, 229 nt
Filed under: Vitis vinifera (wine grape)
Lineage: Eukaryota; Viridiplantae; Streptophyta; Magnoliopsida; Vitales; Vitaceae
Description: long non-coding RNA (VVIN_LNC006665)
Source: RNAcentral